CUACGGGCUGCUCCAGUGGGGAAUAUUGCACAAUGGACGAAAGUCUGAUGCAGCAACGCCGCGUGGAGGAUGACACAUUUCGGUGCGUAAACUCCUUUUAUAUAGGAAGAUAAUGACGGUACUAUAUGAAUAAGCGCCGGCUAACUCCGUGCCAGCAGCCGCGGUAAUACGGAGGGCGCAAGCGUUACUCGGAAUCACUGGGCGUAAAGAGCGUGUAGGCGGAUAGAUAAGUCAGGAGUGAAAUCCUAUGGCUCAACCAUAGAACUGCUCUUGAAACUGUCUAUCUAGAAUAUGGGAGAGGUAGAUGGAAUUUCUGGUGUAGGGGUAAGAUCCGUAGAGAUCAGAAGGAAUACCGAUUGCGAAGGCGAUCUACUGGAACAUUAUUGACGCUGAGACGCGAAAGCGUGGGGAGCAAACAGGAUUAGAUACCCGGGUAGUC
RNAcentral lists this ribosomal RNA (439 nucleotides) under uncultured bacterium. RNAcentral describes it as "partial 16S ribosomal RNA". It matches the Rfam family "Bacterial small subunit ribosomal RNA", at positions 339 to 795 of the family's 1533-position model. The record is from RNAcentral.